Long non-coding RNA from Lepisosteus oculatus (spotted gar), 329 nucleotides. RefSeq lists it as uncharacterized. The record is from RefSeq and is a predicted model, not a curated record. Lineage: Eukaryota; Metazoa; Chordata; Actinopteri; Semionotiformes; Lepisosteidae.
UGCUACUCCGCUGCUUUUUUUCAAAUUCAAGCUUAUUGUCUGGAAUGUCUAAAUGUCUAGAACAGCGGUAGCCAAAUCCAGUGAAGUGCCUCUGGCAGUCGUCCCAGGAACCCUGUGCAGAAUGGAGGAGGCUUUGCGAGUCUGAAUGGCCAGCUCAAAUCUCAUCCCGGAAUGGAAUACAACAGACUACGGAUGUGAACGUGUCCCAGUGUUUUUGGAACGGAGGAUGAGGGUUAACAUCAAAGCUCUUGUUUUUCUAGACAGAAGAAGGAAAAUAAAGCUGUUUUGUUAAACGGAGACUCAGUAAUUACUAUGUUUACAUUAAAAAG